GUGUUCACUUUGGGAACACAUAUACUAAUAUUGGAAUAAUUCACAUGGCUUCUGCACAAGGAUAACAUGCAUGAUAAAUCAUGAAGAUUUCAUAUUU
Molecule: small nuclear RNA, 97 nt
Organism: Capra hircus (goat)
Lineage: Eukaryota; Metazoa; Chordata; Mammalia; Artiodactyla; Bovidae
Source: Ensembl